Molecule: ribosomal RNA, 329 nt
Filed under: uncultured Butyrivibrio sp.
Lineage: Bacteria; Bacillati; Bacillota; Clostridia; Lachnospirales; Lachnospiraceae
Description: partial 16S ribosomal RNA
Source: RNAcentral
GGAGUUUGGACCGUGUCUCAGUUCCAAUGUGGGGGACCUUCCUCUCAGAACCCCUACUGAUCGUAGCCUUGGUGGGCCGUUACCCCGCCAACUGGCUAAUCGGACGCGGGUCCAUCUCAUACCACCGGAGCUUUUCACACUGUACCAUGCGGUACUGUGCGCUUAUGCGGUAUUACCAGUCGUUUCCAACUGCUAUCCCCCUGUAUGAGGCAGGUUACCCACGCGUUACUCACCCGUCCGCCACUAACCUUCCGGAAAAUCAUAGCAAGCUAAUCUUUUCCAUGGGUCCGUUCGACUUGCAUGUGUUAGGCACGCCGCCAGCGUUCAUC